GAAAGACCCCGUGAACCUUUACUGCAGGCUCAUAUUGGUCACGAGCACAUGAUGUGCAGGAUAGGUGGGAGGCUUUGAAGCCGGUGUUCAGGCACUGGUGGAGCCGUUGGUGAGAUACCACCCUUCUUGAGUUUGUGGCCUAACUUUGAUUCCCGUGAAUCCGGGCAGAGGACAGUGUGUGUCGGGUAGUUUGACUGGGGCGGUCUCCUCCUAAAGAGUAACGGAGGAGUGCAAAGGUUGGCUCAGCACGGAUGGAAACCGUGUUUUAGAGUGCAAGAGCAUAAGCCAGCUUUACUGCGAGUCCGACAGGACGAGCAGUCUCGAAAGAGGGCUCUAGUGAUCCUGCGAUCGCGUGUGGAAGCGUCGUAGCUCAUCGGAUAAAAGGUACUCCGGGGAUAACAGGCUUAUCGCUCCCGAGCGUCCAUAGCGGCGGAGCGGUUUGGCACCUCGAUGUCGGCUCAUCGCAUCCUGGGGCUGAAGGCGGUCCCAAGGGUUAGGCUGUUCGCCUAUUAAAGCGGUACGCGAGCUGGGUUCAGAACGUCG
Molecule: ribosomal RNA, 543 nt
Filed under: Coccolithus braarudii
Lineage: Eukaryota; Haptophyta; Coccolithales; Coccolithaceae
Description: partial Bacterial large subunit ribosomal RNA
Rfam family: Bacterial large subunit ribosomal RNA
Source: RNAcentral